GGAUUAGAUACCCUGGUAGUCCACGCCGUAAACGAUGUGUACUAGUUGUCAGGCCCUCAGGGCUUGGUGACGGAGCGAAAGCAUUAAGUACACCGCCUGGGGAGUACGGCCGCAAGGUUAAAACUCAAAGGAAUUGACGGGGACCCGCACAAGCGGUGGAGCAUGUUGUUUAAUUCGAAGCAACGCGAAGAACCUUACCCACUCUUGACAUCCUCCUUGGGAUUGGCAGAGAUGCCUUUCUUCGGUUCGGCCGGGGGAGUGACAGGUGCUGCAUGGCUGUCGUCAGCUCGUGUCG
RNAcentral lists this ribosomal RNA (295 nucleotides) under uncultured bacterium. RNAcentral's name for it is "partial 16S ribosomal RNA". It matches the Rfam family "Bacterial small subunit ribosomal RNA", at positions 775 to 1067 of the family's 1533-position model. The record is from RNAcentral.